Molecule: unclassified non-coding RNA, 530 nt
Filed under: Melitaea cinxia (Glanville fritillary)
Lineage: Eukaryota; Metazoa; Arthropoda; Insecta; Lepidoptera; Nymphalidae
Description: misc RNA ENSMCXG00005017697.1
Source: RNAcentral
AUACUUGGGGACUUCAACGAACACGCCGGUGAGCAGUUUUCACUAGAACUCACCGUAAAAAAGGUUUCCCUGGCACAGAGGUCUUACGAAAUAUUUGGAGAAGAAAUAGUCAAAAGAAAUCACUCAAAUAUGGUUUACCGUUUAUUAUAUUUAUGAUCGGAGGAUCUUUUGGCUUAAGAGAAUGGACGCAGAUAAGAUACCAAUUUUCUAAGGUUAAAGGUGUGAGCAAAGAUGAAGCAGAAAAGAUGGGCCUUCACAAAGAUAAAGAAGUAACAUUAGAAACUGCUUAUGAAGAAAUAAAGAAACUAGAUAUUGAUAAUUGGGAAAAUAAAAGAGGUCCAAGGCCUUGGGAACAAAAUGAGAAGAAAUGAUUAUAUAUUAUAUUAUUAUAAUUGCUUGUGGAAACGGUAGCAAUGUUAAUGUGUUUGAAAUUUAGAAUUAAGAUAAAAAAGGUUAAAUAAAUAGUACUAUAAAAUCAGUUUAUAUUAUUUAAAUAAACAAAAUACUUACCCUUUUAAUACUAAUAAUAA